Cynoglossus semilaevis (tongue sole) is the source of this 770-nucleotide long non-coding RNA. RefSeq lists it as uncharacterized. The record is from RefSeq and is a predicted model, not a curated record. NCBI's taxonomy places the organism in Eukaryota, Metazoa, Chordata, Actinopteri, Pleuronectiformes, Cynoglossidae. The transcript has 4 exons.
UACAAGGCAGAGAGCAUCAAAAUCUAAUUAUAUCACAUAAUCCUAUUCUCUGUUGUCCAUCUGUACACCUAGCUUGUUCCAAACUGCCAUCAACCAUGGCUGCAUUCACAGUCAGAGCUUAAAUGCAUUAUGUUGUACAGUUUUAGUGUGUAAAUGUGCAUCUAUAUUGCUUUGAGCAAAGAUAAAGUCAAUGUAAGAAGAUUAACAUGAAGGUGGCUGAGCAUAAUGAUUAAAAUAUUAUUCAGAGUUGUCCAGCAGAGUGGUGAACAGAGAGGGGGAAGAAUCAGUUAUUAACCUAACACAUUACCGGUCACUAGGUGGGUGACCAUCUGCCCCAACUGUGUGUUUGAAAGAGUAGGGGGCCAAGAAGAUUCAAAAACCACGCAAUGUGACGUGAAGAACCCGAAUGCACCUGCGUACGGCAAGUCAACGACAAGGUGGAGAAGAUGUCGAUGCAGCAAAAAAGGUGGCUAUGGAGAGGAGCUGGGUCUUCAGGCAGCUCUGUAGGUCAUUCCACCUCCUUCAGCUUAGAACAACUCAUACAAAAUGCCUGGAUUAUCUUGGCAGUCAUGGAGAGGAGGUUGGCAGCCAGCGUGAACAUUCUCCCCAGGACUUCUACCAUGUAAAUAAUAUUUGAACCCUGGUCUUGACACAACUUUUCCCCACAACCACAAAGACGAGCUUAUUUUUAAUGUUUCUCACACACUGAGCGGCUGACAUGUUUAUACACAUACAUACUCUCUCUCUCUCUCUUACUCUCUCUCUCUCUC